Molecule: transfer RNA, 76 nt
Filed under: Streptomyces venezuelae
Lineage: Bacteria; Bacillati; Actinomycetota; Actinomycetes; Kitasatosporales; Streptomycetaceae
Also listed under: 1 other name
Description: tRNA-Glu
Rfam family: tRNA
About the family: Transfer RNA (tRNA) molecules are approximately 80 nucleotides in length.
Source: RNAcentral
ACCCUCGUGGAGUAGCCAGGCCCAUCUCGGCCCCCUUUCAAGGGGCAGACCGCGGGUUCAAAUCCCGCCGAGGGUA